This 274-nucleotide ribosomal RNA is filed under the name uncultured bacterium. RNAcentral's name for it is "partial 16S ribosomal RNA". It matches the Rfam family "Bacterial small subunit ribosomal RNA", at positions 523 to 796 of the family's 1533-position model. The record is from RNAcentral.
AUACGGAGGGUGCAAGCGUUGUUCGGAAUUAUUGGGCGUAAAGAGCAUGUAGGCGGACUAUUAAGUCUGGUGUGAAAGCCCGGGGCUCAACCCCGGAAGUGCAUUGGAUACUGGUAGUCUUGAGUAUGGGAGAGGAAAGUGGAAUUCCGAGUGUAGGAGUGAAAUCCGUAGAUAUUCGGAGGAACACCAGUGGCGAAGGCGACUUUCUGGACCAAUACUGACGCUGAGAUGCGAAAGCGUGGGGAGCGAACAGGAUUAGAAACCCCAGUAGUCC